UACGGAGGGUGCAAGCGUUGUUCGGAAUUACUGGGCGUAAAGCGCACGUAGGCGGAUCUAUAAGUCGGAUGUGAAAGCCCCAGGCUUAACCUGGGAAUUGCAUCCGAAACUGUAGACCUUGAAUGCUUGAGAGGAUGACGGAAUUCCUGGUGUAGAAGUGAAAUUCGUAGAUAUCAGGAGGAACACCGGAGGCGAAGGCGGUUGUCUGGCGAUGCAUUGACGCUGAGGUGCGAAAGCGUGGGGAGCAAACAGG
Molecule: ribosomal RNA, 253 nt
Filed under: uncultured bacterium
Lineage: Bacteria
Description: partial 16S ribosomal RNA
Rfam family: Bacterial small subunit ribosomal RNA
Source: RNAcentral